RNAcentral lists this ribosomal RNA (78 nucleotides) under Acinetobacter sp. SwsAc4. RNAcentral's name for it is "partial 23S ribosomal RNA". The record is from RNAcentral. Lineage: Bacteria; Pseudomonadati; Pseudomonadota; Gammaproteobacteria; Moraxellales; Moraxellaceae.
UGUGGAAGCACGGUGACGUGUGAAGCUGACCAAUACUAAUUGCUCGUGAGGCUUGACUAUACAACACCCAAACAGUUG